Molecule: transfer RNA, 86 nt
Filed under: Nematostella vectensis (starlet sea anemone)
Lineage: Eukaryota; Metazoa; Cnidaria; Anthozoa; Actiniaria; Edwardsiidae
Rfam family: tRNA
About the family: Transfer RNA (tRNA) molecules are approximately 80 nucleotides in length. Their secondary structure includes four short double-helical elements and three loops (D, anti-codon, and T loops).
Source: Rfam by way of RNAcentral
CCUUCGAUGGCUCAGUUGGUAGAGCGGGGGACUGUAGAUUUAUAAUUGUGAUCCCUAGGUCGCUGGUUCGAAUCCGGCUCGAAGGA